UCGGGGCGUAGCGCAGCCUGGUAGCGCAUUUGGUUUGGGACCAAAGGGUCGGGAGUUCAAAUCUCUCCGCCCCGAG
This 76-nucleotide transfer RNA is filed under the name Wolbachia pipientis. Its description in RNAcentral is "tRNA-Pro". It matches the Rfam family "tRNA". Rfam says of the family: Transfer RNA (tRNA) molecules are approximately 80 nucleotides in length. Their secondary structure includes four short double-helical elements and three loops (D, anti-codon, and T loops). RNAcentral also lists the same sequence under 4 other names. The record is from RNAcentral. Lineage: Bacteria; Pseudomonadati; Pseudomonadota; Alphaproteobacteria; Rickettsiales; Anaplasmataceae.